UCUUGAGGUUCAUUGUUUCCGUAGUCUGAUAGUCAAAUCAAGGGGGGCAUAAAAGUGUCUCCUUUCUGAAUGUCUUCAUUUCUGCUUCUGUCUGUACAGUCUGGGGACUCUGGGAUGGACUCCCCAUGGGCCCGGGGUUGUCUGUGAUGCUCUAAUUAUUUGCUGGGGCUGCACCCACUUUCUUCUGGGGCCUUUGAGCCUUUCUCUGACUGCACAGGAUAUGAAAGACCCAUGAGUCAGCCCCUCUGUCAGCGGCUUCAGAUUGGGUUUCCGUUUCUCCGUAGCUAGACUUUGUGGGCUUCUUCCUGCUUCUGUGUGUCAUUUUGAGCUCAUGCAAGAGGCAGAACUACUGGCCUGGUUCCAGCAGCUCGGACUAGGCUGGCUUUAAAGCUGCCUCCCCCACCCCACCCCCAGUGGUCAGCCGAGAUUUCUCAUCUGUCACGUGGUCCUAGCGCUGGCUCCUCUGGAAUGCUGAGAGGCCACAUCUGGCUGUGACGAGGCUGCCACCUCCCCCUCCAGCUGCCAGGCUCCCACAUGUGCCUCUUCCGCCGCCGAGGUGGUGGUGGGGCUCCUUUGUGGGGUCAUUUCCUCUCUCUGCAUUGAUUGUCUAAUGUCCCUGCCUCCCCUCCAGGCCUUGAAAGGUUGUAAGUCGUGGGAGGGGAAGGCUUCUCUUUCUCCUGCAAGCUUCCUGUCCUGGCUGUAUUUUGCCCCUCCCCCAGGAGGGAUGUCUGAGCCCAGUGGCUGUAGAGAGAGCCUGGUUGUGCUGGGAAUUUGGUUGUGGAUUCCUCAGCCUGGGAGAUAAAGAUAAGACCCUGGGGUAGGGCUCAGGCCGAAGGAAGGGGCCUGAGUGUGGAUCAUUUCAUUCAUUCCUGCCCCCAGCCCCAUUCAUCCCCUCUCCCAUUCAUACACACACACACACACACACACACACACACACACACACACACACACACACACACACACACACACACUGCCCCCAUUCACCUUCAUACCCACCUAUCCAUCUACCUAUUCAUCUUCUGGUCUACCCAUCUAACCCAUGCCCUUUCAUUUAAUAAGGGUCAGCAAGAUGGCUCAGCAGGGAAAGGCGUUUUGCCACCACAUACCCCACAUGGUGGAGAGAACGGAUUCCCGUUCCAAUCGUUGACUAUCACACUCCUACCAAGAAGAGAUCGCAAGGCUGGCCUCUAGCUGUAGACUCAGCUCUCCCUUUGCAGAGAUCUUCUUUUCUCUAAUCCCUCCUUGCUUCAUCUAACCAGGGCCCAGGGUGCUCAGAGCAAGGUGAGGCUGCCCUCAGAUGCUGGCAUGGUGAAGAGGGUGGAGGUGGCCUCACUUAGAGCCCUAUCGUUAUCCCUGGCUUCAUUCUUAGAAGAGAGCUCUGAGCGGUAUUGAUGCCCAGGCCAUCUGAGAGGAUAUAUCCUGGUCCCUCAGUCUGCCUUAAAUCUGUGGCGGCAUUCUGAGAGAGAAAAGCCUCGGAGGAGGAGGAAGAGGAGCAGGCUAACCCUUGCCUGGAGGCUAACAUUCUUCCUCAUCUUCAACAUGGGAGCAGUCCUUGGGGGAUUAAACGCUCCCAGUAUAAGAACACACCUUCCUCUCCGGUUCUUGCAUCUGCCACACCACACUUAGAAGUCAGACGAACUGAGUGUCAGGACAAAAUAGAACCAACCACCCAUCUGCUCACAGGUGGUCUCUUGAAGGUGACCCCAGCCCCCUGGUCUAGCUCAGAGCCACAUCCUGAUAGGAGUCUUGGGAACAAAGGCUUUCAGGAUUUCGGUGAAGCUGGAUCCUGGGGAAGAUAUACCACCUGCCUGUCCCCUGAUAACCCAGGCAGCCAGUGGCUGAAGGGCAGAGAUUUCUGCACUGUCAACGUGGCAGCCAGCUGUGCCAGAUUUUUCUGCUGCCACCCCUGGGAAGGGCAUCUCUUCGGGGCAGUGGGCUCAAUCUGUGUAGCCAGCUGCUGCCCACAUUCAGGGUCUGGUUUUUUUUUUUUUUUUUUGUCUCCUGUGGGGCAGAGAACCAGAUGCACACCUACUCCAGCUUUGGAAGUAAAAGACUCAGGAAAUUAUUCCUGCAAACUCAUCUUCAGGAUGCAGCCUGAGAAACGCGAUGGAAUUAGAUGCAGGGUCUGGGGUGAGAGGGAGGGGAGCCGGGAGGUGGAGACACUGCAUAGUGUGGAUACACAGAGUCAUAGGUAGGUUUGCACCACCUGGGAGCUGUCUGCCUCCUCAGACUUGCUGCAUUGGGUUUUAUGUGGGGGCAAGAUGGCCGAGUGGUUUGCCUGCAGGAACUAGGCGCUGAGCGAGGUUCAGGUCCCAGCUCCUUAUUCCCAGCUGUGUGACUUUGGAAAAGUUACAUCAUUUCUCUGAACCCCAGCUCUGUCACCAGCCAAGUAGUUCUGGAUAAAAACCUGAAAGGCGCUGGGCGUGGUGGCGCACGCCUUUAAUCCCAGCACUUGGGAGGCAGAGGCAGGUGAAUUUCUGAGUUCGAGGCCAGCCUGGUCUACAGAGUGAGUUCCAGGACAGCCAGGGCUACACACAGCCCUGUCUCGAAACAAAACAAAACAAAACCC
RNAcentral lists this long non-coding RNA (2569 nucleotides) under Mus musculus (house mouse). RNAcentral describes it as "long non-coding RNA chr4:139598779-139601348". Lineage: Eukaryota; Metazoa; Chordata; Mammalia; Rodentia; Muridae. The record is from RNAcentral.